Molecule: non-coding RNA, 29 nt
Filed under: Homo sapiens (human)
Lineage: Eukaryota; Metazoa; Chordata; Mammalia; Primates; Hominidae
Source: RNAcentral
UGGUGGGAGAUGCCACGUGGCUGGGCUGA